This 253-nucleotide ribosomal RNA is filed under the name uncultured bacterium. RNAcentral's name for it is "partial 16S ribosomal RNA". It matches the Rfam family "Archaeal small subunit ribosomal RNA", at positions 474 to 727 of the family's 1478-position model. The record is from RNAcentral.
UACCAGCACCCCGAGUGGUCGGGACGAUUAUUGGGCCUAAAGCAUCCGUAGCCGGUUCUGCAAGUCCUCCGUUAAAUCCAGCUGCUCAACAGAUGGGCCGCGGAGGAUACUACAGAGCUAGGAGGCAGGAGAGGCAAGCGGUACUCAGUGGGUAGGGGUAAAAUCCGUUGAUCCAUUGAAGACCACCAGUGGCGAAGGCGGCGACCUGGUCCAUUACUGACGCUGAGGCGCGAAAGCGUGGGGAGCAAACAGG